Salarias fasciatus (jewelled blenny) is the source of this 710-nucleotide long non-coding RNA. RefSeq lists it as uncharacterized. The record is from RefSeq and is a predicted model, not a curated record. Lineage: Eukaryota; Metazoa; Chordata; Actinopteri; Blenniiformes; Blenniidae. The transcript is spliced from 4 exons.
CUCCAAAUCCAAAGUGGAUGAGGAGUGGGCGGGGCUGGUUUACCAGGCUAUCAUUUAGGGGAGGAGCCAAAAAUGAUGACGUUUGAAGCCUCAUGAGCCGGUCGAACCACCGACUGCUUCAGGCAGUGGUUUUCGGGUAUGACGUGAUCAAAAUAUAACGGGCAGCGAAAGCGAUGGAUUCCUCCGUUCACAUCUUGUGGAUUUGGGCCUUCUUUAUCCUGCAUUGGAAUCGGUUGACACUCUUUUUUCCAUGGAGCCAGCCAGGAAGAGACCAUUCUCUCUCCCUGUGUGGGACCAUUUGACUUGAUUUCACCUAAUAAGGUGAAAUGUCUGUUGUGUUCCAAGGAGCUUGGAUACAACAACAACACCUCAUCUAUGCUGAGGCAUUCCAGAGCCCUGCAUGAGAACAAGGAGACCAACCGCGGUGGAUCAAGCUCAGGAAUGAAUGAUGUGAAUGAAGCCUUGGUGAGCGUGGUCACUGAGGAGACCCAGCCCUCCUCUACUGGAGGACAGCAGGUUCAGGAAGCUGGUUCAAGCUUUAACCCUACUAUGUUCUCCCCACAAGACAGGCUUUUAAAGCUAUGGUGGAGAAAAAAUACAAGGAGUCCAAGGAGAAAGCCAAAGCCAUGGUCUCCAAGGCGGCCUCUGUUAGUUUGACAUCCGAUAUGUGGACCUCAUAAACACUGAUGCAAGAUUCGGCGGUGACGUGC